CAAUAGCGUAUAUUAAAGUUGUUGCGGUAAAAAAGCUCGUAGUUGGAUUUCUGUUGAGAGCGACCGGUCCAUACCAUGUAUGCGUAUCUGGCUUGCUCUCGGCACCCUCUCGAUAGACGUUACUGCGCUUGAUUGCGUGGUGCGGAUCUCGGGACUUUUACUUUGAGGAAAUUAGAGUGUUCACGGCAGGCUUUCGCCAGAAUACAUUAGCAUGGAAUAAUACUAUAGGAUCUUGGUUCUAUUUUGUUGGUUUCUAGAAUUGAGAUAAUGAUUAAUAGGGACAAUUGGGGGCAUUCGUAUCAACACGUCAGAGGUGGAAUUCUUGGAUUGUGUUGCGACGAACUACUGCGAAAGCAUUUGCCAAGGAUGUUUUCAUUGA
RNAcentral lists this ribosomal RNA (379 nucleotides) under uncultured eukaryote. RNAcentral describes it as "partial 18S ribosomal RNA". It matches the Rfam family "Eukaryotic small subunit ribosomal RNA", at positions 592 to 976 of the family's 1831-position model. The record is from RNAcentral.